ACGGGAGGCAGCAGUGGGGAAUAUUGCACAAUGGGGGAAACCCUGAUGCAGCGACGCCGCGUGAGUGAAGAAGUAUUUCGGUAUGUAAAGCUCUAUCAGCAGGAAAGAAAAUGACGGUACCUGACUAAGAAGCCCCGGCUAACUACGUGCCAGCAGCCGCGGUAAUACGUAGGGGGCAAGCGUUAUCCGGAUUUAUUGGGUUUAAAGGGAGCGUAGGCGGGCGAUUAAGUCAGCGGUUAAAUAGUGUGGCUCAACCAUGCCUUGCCGUUGAUACUGGUUGUCUUGAGAGUACUAGAGGUGGAUGGAAUUUAGGGUGUAGCGGUGAAAUGCUUAGAUAUCCUAAAGAACUCCGAUUGCGAAGGCAGUCCACUGGGGUACGUCUGACGCUGAAGCUCGAAAGUGCGGGUAUCAAACAGGAUUAGAUACCCUGGUA
This 433-nucleotide ribosomal RNA is filed under the name uncultured Clostridium sp. RNAcentral describes it as "partial 16S ribosomal RNA". It matches the Rfam family "Bacterial small subunit ribosomal RNA", at positions 341 to 792 of the family's 1533-position model. Lineage: Bacteria; Bacillati; Bacillota; Clostridia; Eubacteriales; Clostridiaceae. The record is from RNAcentral.